This 1246-nucleotide ribosomal RNA is filed under the name Capsicum baccatum. RNAcentral's name for it is "SSU rRNA". The stretch from base 213 to 1246 matches the Rfam family "Eukaryotic small subunit ribosomal RNA". Lineage: Eukaryota; Viridiplantae; Streptophyta; Magnoliopsida; Solanales; Solanaceae. The record is from RNAcentral.
ACUCUGAGGAUCCACUCAAAACUCGCCGGUAUUACGAAGCCAUCCUGGUAGAUACUGAUUCGAUUGAGGUCGAACACUCAGUAAAUGAAGGAUAUCCAGAACAUAUCGGCUAUUCCAAGUUUACCAUUAAGAGGGACUUAACCCCUUUCAGUUGGUUUGUCGACCACCUAAACACUCCAGUUGCACUAUCAAUGCCUCAUAGGCCCCAGACUUACAAUUGGCACGACUAUAAGUCGGCGUGGUUCAACUUCCUAUUUGAUCGCCCAGACCACACCUGGUUUGUUAAAUAUUGCCCCACUAUGAUGGAAGCCAUCAUACCAAGAUGGUUUUAUGAAUGGUGGUUAUGUUUCGGAGGAAACCAAAGGUCAUACUCUGCCUGCUCCCUUACCGGUCAAAAGCAUUCCUAGCGCUAUUUAAUCAAGAACGAAAGUUAGGGGCUCAAAGGCGAUCAGAUACCGUCCUAGUCUCAACCAUAAUCAAUGCCGACCAGGGAUCAGCGGAUGUUGCUUUUAGGACUCCACCGACACCUUAUGAGAAAUCAAAGUUUUUGGGUUUCAGGGGGAGUAUGGUCGCAAGGCUGAAACUAAAAGGAAUUGACGGAAGGGCACCACCAGGAGUGGAGCCUGCGGCUUAAUUUGCUCAACACGGGGAAACUUACCAGGUCCAGACAUAACAAGGAUUGACAGACUGAGAGCUCUUUCUUGAUUCUAUGGGUGGUGGUGCAUAGCCAUUCUUUGUUGGUGGAGCGAUUUGUCUGGUUAAUUCCGUUAACGAACGAGACCUCAGCCUGCUAACCAGCUAUGCGGAGGUAUCCCUUCGCGGCCAGCUUCUUAGGGGGACUACGGCCUUUUAGGCCGCGGAAGUUUGAGGCAAUAACAGGUCUGUGAUGCCCUUAGAUGUUCUGGGCCGCACGCGCACUACACUGAUGUAUUCAACUAGUUUAUAGCCUUGGCUGACAGACUCGGGUAAUCUUUGAAAUUUCAUCGUGAUGGGGAUAGAUCAUUGAAAUUGUUGGUAUUCAACGAGGAAUUCCUAGUAAGCGCGAGUCAUCAGCUCACGUUGACUACGUCCCUGCCCUUUGUACACACCGCCCGUCGCUCCUACCGAUUGAAUGAUCCGGUGAAAUGUUCGGAUCGCGGCGACGUGGGCGGUUCGCUGCCCGCGACGUCGCGAGAAGUCCAUUGAACCUUAUCAUUUAGAGGAAGGAGAAGUCGUAACAAGGUUUCCGUAGGUGAACCUGCGGAAG